ACUCCUUACCCCUGGCCGUC
This 20-nucleotide microRNA is filed under the name Bos taurus (domestic cattle). Its description in RNAcentral is "bta-miR-2330-3p". Lineage: Eukaryota; Metazoa; Chordata; Mammalia; Artiodactyla; Bovidae. The record is from miRBase by way of RNAcentral.